CCUACGGGGGGCAGCAGUGGGGAAUAUUGGGCAAUGGGCGCAAGCCUGACCCAGCAACGCCGCGUGAAGGAAGAAGGCUUUCGGGUUGUAAACUUCUUUUGACAGGGAAGAGUAGAAGACGGUACCUGUCGAAUAAGCCACGGCUAACUACGUGCCAGCAGCCGCGGUAAUACGUAGGGGGCGAGCGUUGUCCGGAAUCACUGGGCGUAAAGGGCGCGUAGGCGGUAAUAUAAGUCAGAUGUGAAAGGUGGGGGCUCAACCCCUAGAGUGCAACUGAUACUGUAUAACUUGAGUGUGAGAGAGGGAAGCGGAAUUCCUAGUGUAGCGGUGAAAUGCGUAGAUAUUAGGAGGAACACCAGUGGCGAAGGCGGCUUUCUGGCUCAUAACUGACGCUGAGGCGCGAAAGCGUGGGGAGCAAACAGGAUUAGAUACCCGAGUAGUC
This 442-nucleotide ribosomal RNA is filed under the name uncultured bacterium. RNAcentral's name for it is "partial 16S ribosomal RNA". It matches the Rfam family "Bacterial small subunit ribosomal RNA", at positions 338 to 795 of the family's 1533-position model. The record is from RNAcentral.